UACGUAGGGGGCUAGCGUUGUCCGGAUUUAUUGGGCGUAAAGAGCUCGUAGGCGGUUCCGUAAGUCAGAUGUGAAAACUCAGGGCUCAACCCGGAGACGCCAUCUGAUACUGCGGUGACUGGAGUCUGGUAGGGGAACACGGAAUUCCUGGUGUAGCGGUGAAAUGCGCAGAUAUCAGGAAGAACACCCGUGGCUAAGGCGGCUCUCUAGUACGGUACUGACGCUGAGACGUGAAAGCGUGGGGAGCAAACAGG
Molecule: ribosomal RNA, 254 nt
Filed under: uncultured bacterium
Lineage: Bacteria
Description: partial 16S ribosomal RNA
Rfam family: Bacterial small subunit ribosomal RNA
Source: RNAcentral